RNAcentral lists this unclassified non-coding RNA (4676 nucleotides) under Drosophila virilis. Its description in RNAcentral is "GJ23554". Lineage: Eukaryota; Metazoa; Arthropoda; Insecta; Diptera; Drosophilidae. The record is from RNAcentral.
AGGUGGCAAACGGCAACGGCGGCUAAAGGCCAGAGCGCGAAAUAUAUACAUAAGUAUAUGUAUAAUUUAAGAGAUACAUAUACAGAAUAUAGCCCAUGGUAUAUAUGUACAUAAGUCUUAUACUAUAUAUGGAGCAAUAUUUAAGUGAAGAAUUCUCAGUUUGACAAAAAGCGAAAUGUGAAAAUUGACGUUGUGCGAUACGUAUUUGUGUGUGUUGUGUGUCUUUGUGUGUGCAUGUGGGUGUGUUGGUCAUGAAAGUUACAUGCCCCACCGUACAGCAGCGAAAAAGAAAUUAAACUGAAACAAAUCUACAGUCGAGUAAUUUGACUCGACAACAGGCACAGCCACAACCACAGCCACAGCCACAGCCACAGCCAUAGCCAUGGUGAUAAGCAAACCCGACUCGUCGACAAAUGGGGCGCCGGCGGAAGCGGCUGCAGGUGCAGCUGCAGGUCUGGAUGCUUCUGCGAAUAGCAUGGGACAUAGGUCGGGCAUACCACAGGACCAAAUAGACAAUAUUUUGAGUGGCAUAUCCAACACGGGGGAUGUCAAAAUGAACAAUCAUCGCAAGAAGCUGCGGCAAAGAUUUGAUAUUAUUAAAAAGUUGGGUCAAGGCACAUAUGGCAAAGUGCAGCUUGGUAUUAAUAAGGAAACGGGCCAGGAGGUGGCCAUCAAAACGAUAAAGAAAUGUAAAAUCGAGGCUGAGGCAGAUCUCGUGCGCAUUCGGCGAGAGGUGCAAAUCAUGAGCUCAGUGCAGCAUCCCAACAUUAUACACAUAUAUGAAGUAUUUGAGAAUCGCGAGAAAAUGGUGCUGGUCAUGGAGUUUGCCGCUGGCGGUGAGCUAUACGACUACCUGUCCGAACGCAAGGUGCUUAGCGAGGAGGAAGCACGUCGCAUCUUUCGUCAGGUGGCUACGGCCGUCUACUAUUGUCACAAACACAAGAUAUGCCAUCGCGAUCUGAAGCUGGAAAAUAUACUGCUCGAUGAACAGGGCAAUGCCAAGAUUGCCGACUUUGGCCUGUCUAAUGUGUUCGACGAUCAGCGCCUGCUCGGAACUUUCUGCGGAUCACCAUUGUAUGCCUCGCCGGAGAUUGUAGAAGGCACACCCUACCAGGGACCCGAGGUGGACUGCUGGUCCUUGGGCGUGCUGCUCUAUACUCUAGUCUAUGGUUCCAUGCCCUUUGAUGGUUCCAAUUUCAAAAGACUUGUCAAACAGAUCAGCCAGGGCGACUACUAUGAGCCACGCAAGCCGUCGCGUGCUUCGACACUCAUUCGGGAAAUGUUAACGGUGUCUCCACAGAAGCGAGCCACCAUCGAGCAAAUUUGCUCGCAUUGGUGGGUGAACGAGAACGACAAUGUCUCCUGCCUUGAUUUGGCUGAGGAUUUGGCUAAUCAAACGCCGGUACGCCUCGAUGUACUCCUGUCACUGACACCUGCUGCCAUUACCGCAGAUCAGCUCGUGGUACCAUCAGCAGAGGGCGCAGCUGCCGCAGCAGCAGCCGCUAAGGCUGCGGCCAAUGAGCGCGUUCAACGCUCGCAUUCGGUGGGCUCUAUACGUGAUAUUGGUGGGCCCAACACAGAGGCAGAGCGCCGCAUUCUUGACAUGGUUGCUGCUGGUGGUGAAGCUGCACUGAUGCCUUCACCCACACGCACCAUAACACCCGCCCAGAGCCCCGUGCAAGCCAAGCGCAAGCUGCAGCCCACGGUUUCCACCGAGAACGCUGCCGGCACCACAGCCAAAAAGAAGGAGAAGCCGGCCAACAGUUCAUUUGUGGUCAGCGAAGCCACAGCACAAUCACUUGCGCCACCAACACCAACUGCACCACUUACACCAACACCAAUAACGGCGCCCCAGGCUAUGGAGACUGAGAGCUUUACCCCUGCUGACGAGCAGUCAACGUCCACGACGGCGCCCAGCUACUCGCCACAGGAUAUGCAGCAAGUUGGCAAUCUAUGCGAGCAACUUAUUAGCGAACCUGUUGCACCACUCGCCAAUGCGUUACCGCGACAGUCAACACGUCCCAAACUAGAUGCGGUGGUAGAAACACCCGAGGAGAAGGACGCCACCAAAGUGAUAAAAAAAUUUGUGAACAAACACAAGACCGCCGAUUUGGUGAAUGCGAUCAAUGAGAGUGCCACAGGAAAAGCCACGACCAGCAGCAAUUCUGCAUCGCAGCCGCCCCCCCUAGCACCCUUCGUCCGUAAGUGUAGCCUGCAGGAUGAGUCCACACUCAACAAGUUCAAUGCGGAUCGUCGCAAGUCACGCAUCCUAGAAACAGCAGAGAAGUUUCAACCGCCGCCUCCAAUAUCGACAGCGCCAGAGAAGCCUAAAAAGCUCAGCAUACCCGGCGUUAGCGUAGGCAGUUUUAAGAAGGAGUUCGAGCGCAAGGCCAUAAACCCGACUCCUGUGGCCGGACCCACACCAGGUGAGCGUCGCGCUCUGGAGCAGGUGGCCGCCGCAGCUGCUGCGGCUCAAGAGGCUGAGGCACAGGAAGCCUUGGUCACUCCACCACCUUCGCCAGUGUCUGGAAACCUAGAGGCCAGCGAUUCCAAGAACUCCGUGACCUCCAUUUCGCUUGAAGAGGCGCGUCGCUCUAUGGAGAACUCGAUUGCGCUGCUGCAACAGGCUCAGAACGAGUCCAACAAGGAACUGGACCAGCUCUGCGCCCAAACAGAGACAAUUGGCGUUAGCGAAAUAACAGCGGAGGAGCGCGAGCGUAAGUUGAAGAAUGCACGCGCCAUAAUCGGAAACGCCAUACAGCCGGUGAUACGCAGGCCAACACCAUUAUUUGGCAUCGGCAAUGGCUUCGGCAGUGGCGCUGGCGCCGGCGGAAUUGGGGGCGGUGCAAUGUUACCGUUGCGCACUGAGAGCAGCAACAAUUUCACUGGCAAUGUUAGCAGCAGUCCAACCAGUGCGCCACCAAUUGCUUUAGCAGCUGCUAAGCAUAUGAUACAACAGCGACUCUUUUCGGGCGGCGUUCCUGGAGGGGCGAUAUCGACGCCACCACGGGCGGUCAUUUGGCAGCCACAAACGGCGUAUAGCACGGCAAGCAUAUUCCAGCCGUUGCCCACAAGCAGUCCAUUCAGGCAACUGCAGCAGCAGUACCAGCAGAAGUGCCAGGAGGCACAGCAGCAUCAGCGAUUUGCCAGCAGUGCCUUAUUUACGCCACCGCCCUCGCCGCUGUAUGCCCCCAGCCAUGCCCACGUCCAUGCCAGCAGCAACAGCAACAACAAUACGAUGCCAAUUAUCAAUUACAAUGUCAGCUCGCGUACGAGACCAUUUCAUAAUCAAGCUCAAGACACUCUUAAUACAUCUGCCUUGCCUGCGGCUAUGUGGCUGAAAUCUUCACCGGGCGGCGAUGCCUCAUUAGGCAGCGCAGUGAAAACGUCUACCGCAUCCAUUACGCUCAAAUCAGCGACGUUGCCACGUCGCAAAAUUAAUGCCAAAUCAGAGGUGCAGCUGGAAAUCAAGCCGCGUAUUCCUGAGCAGCCGCAGCCGGCGAUGCGCUUCAGCACCGAAAUGCAGCAUCCAGUGGCUGAUUUGCGCAGUGCGCCACCUCGCGAGGGUCCCAUACCAUACAGUCCCAUCAAGACCUCACUGCAGGCGCGAGCCACAAGCUUAGAGCCCAAAGAGCACAUCAUAACCAUACAGCGGCCACCAACACAGCAAGCUUAUGGACGCACCAACUCCAACACCACAAAUCGUUCUGGUUCGCUGUCACGUCAAUCCACUGCUGAAUCCGAGACGGAAACAGCAACGACCAUGUCGCAAUCAACUGUUACUGGCGGUUCGGGCAUCUCGCAGCCUAUUAAGAAGAGUCCACGCGAAGUAAUUAUACCGAUUUCCGUGGAGGGUAGAGGCUUAAUCACGCCACGUGAGCGCAGCAUUGAGCCUUCCGAGUCAGUUCACACAACCGCCUCCAGUCGCUCAACAUUCAGCCGACUGCGUCCAUCGCAUCGGAUUGGCUCACUCCUCAGUGAGAGCGGGUUCGAUGAGAGUUCGCCAUUCCAGAAGAUGCGCACAACUUCUAUUACUCGUGAUGGCGGCGAUGAUGAGUCGCUUUUUACCCCGCACAGACUUAGGAGCUCGAGGCCAGUCAAGAAAAUUAGCCAGGACAACGAUUCUCAAAGCUCUGGCGAGGAGGAUGACGACGAUGGUUUCGAGAUACUAACCGCGGAGAACUUAUUCUCGACUUUGCUGCAACGUGUGCGUGCUGUUACGAAUCGCAUGAACGUCAACAGUGACCUUACAGCCGGAUUUCCCAGUCAUUCUAGUCGCCUGCUAACGGAUAUCUCGCGGCAGGCACAAGGCCAUAGGUCCUUCUGGGGUCAGGGCAGUCCCUUCGGCAGCCGCCUCAACAGCGCCGGCAACAGCAGCGGUCUCGGUGCACCCUGGCGUCACAGCAUGUCCCGGGACUUGGGUAGCGAAAUGGAGUCGAUGUUCUCACGCACGGGCGCCACGCUGCCAAGAGGUGAAUAUCACAGAAUAAAGAGUAAAUAUUUAGAUCAGUAGGCAGACAACAGGCAACAGAUACCAAGCGAACCGAAGCGAAGCAACUGCAAUUCUCGAUGCGAACACAACGUAAAUCAUAAAAAUAUCAGAUCCAAAAUUGGUUUAUCCUUAACUUCUACCACGCCCACAAAGCAUGUUAUAACCAUUAACAACAGUCCGUUAA